UGGGGAAUCUUGGACAAUGGGCGCAAGCCUGAUCCAGCCAUGCCGCGUGAGUGAAGAAGGCCUUAGGGUUGUAAAACUCUUUCGCCGGAGAAGAUAAUGACGGUAUCCGGAGAAGAAGCCCCGGCUAACUUCGUGCCAGCAGCCGCGGUAAUACGAAGGGGGCUAGCGUUGUUCGGAAUUACUGGGCGUAAAGCGCACGUAGGCGGGUUUGUAAGUAGGGGGUGAAAUCCCAGGGCUCAACCCUGGAACUGCCUUCUAGACUGCAAGCCUGGAGGUCAGGAGAGGCGAGUGGAAUACCGAGUGUAGAGGUGAAAUUCGUAGAUAUUCGGUGGAACACCAGUGGCGAAGGCGACUCGCUGGACUGAUACUGACGCUGAGGUGCGAAAGCGUGGGGAGCAAACA
RNAcentral lists this ribosomal RNA (402 nucleotides) under uncultured bacterium. Its description in RNAcentral is "bacterial SSU rRNA". It matches the Rfam family "Bacterial small subunit ribosomal RNA", at positions 355 to 774 of the family's 1533-position model. RNAcentral also lists the same sequence under 1 other name. The record is from RNAcentral.